This 255-nucleotide ribosomal RNA is filed under the name uncultured bacterium. RNAcentral describes it as "partial 16S ribosomal RNA". It matches the Rfam family "Bacterial small subunit ribosomal RNA", at positions 524 to 776 of the family's 1533-position model. The record is from RNAcentral.
UACAGAGGUCCCCAAGCGUUGUUCGGAUUCAUUGGGCGUAAAGGGUGCGUAGGCGGCGCGGUAAGUCGGGUGUGAAAUCUCGGAGCUUAACUCCGAAACUGCAUUCGAUACUGCCGUGCUUGAGGACUGGAGAGGAGACUGGAAUUUACGGUGUAGCGGUGAAAUGCGCAGAUAUCAGGAGGAACACCGGUGGCGAAGGCGGGUCUCUGGGCCGAUGACUGACGCUGAGGAGCGAAAGCGUGGGGAGCGAACAGG